AUAAAACGUUACCAGGAAGGGCAAAGAAACGAGCAGGGCUCCCCCACCCCGCUCGCCCACCAGCUCUGCAGGCAGGGGUCCCCGCUGCGGACCCGGAUGCUCCGCACAGAGUUUGUACUUGCAAAUGGACUAUGAUUUUCAAAGAAGAGAAAUCACUGAUGAGAUUAAUGGGCAACCUACAACAGCCAAAAUAAUAUGCAGCUCAGGCUGAGUCUUCGAUGACCUGUAUGUACUGAAAUUCAGGAUGCAACCAAUAAUCUCACCAGGCCCAGAUCGUAA
Molecule: long non-coding RNA, 279 nt
Organism: Cavia porcellus (domestic guinea pig)
Lineage: Eukaryota; Metazoa; Chordata; Mammalia; Rodentia; Caviidae
Exons: 2
Source: RefSeq, a predicted model, not a curated record